AUGAACGCUGGCGGCGUGCUUAACACCUGCAAGUCGAACGGAACUACUCCAAUGAGAGUCUUCGGAAAGGAUUUGGUUUAGUUUAGUGGCGGACGGGUGAGUAACGCGUGGGUAACCUGCCCUAUACAGGGGGAUAACAGUUGGAAACGACUGUUAAUACCGCAUAAGCGCACAGGAGCGCAUGCUCCGGUGUGAAAAACUCCGGUGGUAUAGGAUGGACCCGCGUCUGAUUAGCUGGUUGGCGGGGUAACGGCCCACCAAGGCGACGAUCAGUAGCCGGCCUGAGAGGGUGAACGGCCACAUUGGGACUGAGACACGGCCCAAACUCCUACGGGAAGCAGCAGUGGGGAAUAUUGCACAAUGGGGGAAACCCUGAUGCAGCGACGCCGCGUGAGCGAAGAAGUAUCUCGGUAUGUAAAGCUCUAUCAGCAGGGAAGAAAAUGACGGUACCUGACUAAGAAGCCCCGGCUAACUACGUG
This 479-nucleotide ribosomal RNA is filed under the name uncultured bacterium. RNAcentral describes it as "partial 16S ribosomal RNA". It matches the Rfam family "Bacterial small subunit ribosomal RNA", at positions 29 to 507 of the family's 1533-position model. The record is from RNAcentral.